Molecule: ribosomal RNA, 355 nt
Filed under: uncultured bacterium
Lineage: Bacteria
Description: bacterial SSU rRNA
Rfam family: Bacterial small subunit ribosomal RNA
Source: RNAcentral
UGGGAAACCGGGGCUAAUACCGGAUAUGAGGUGCCCGGGCAUCCGGGUGACUGGAAAGGGUUUCUGGUCGGGGAUGGGCUCGCGGCCUAUCAGCUUGUUGGUGGGGUGAUGGCCUACCAAGGCGACGACGGGUAGCCGGCCUGAGAGGGCGACCGGCCACACUGGGACUGAGAUACGGCCCAGACUCCUACGGGAGGCAGCAGUGGGGAAUAUUGGACAAUGGGCGAAAGCCUGAUCCAGCAAUGCCGCGUGAGUGAAGAAGGCCUUCGGGUUGUAAAGCUCUUUUGCCCGGGAAGAUAAUGACUGUACCGGGAGAAUAAGCCCCGGCUAACUCCGUGCCAGCAGCCGCGGUAAU